AUGAACGGACCUCUGGUGUACCAGUUGUCCUGCCAAGGGCACCGCUGGUUAGCUACGUCCGGACGGGAUAACCGCUGAAAGCAUCUAAGCGGGAAGCCCACCUCGAGAUGAGCUCUCCCAUCCCCUUCGAGGGAGUAAGAGCCCUGGAAGACCACCAGGUGAUAGGCCGGAUGUGUAAACGCGGUGACGCGCUAAGCAGACCGGUACUAAUGCUUCGAGGGCUUGACGGA
This 230-nucleotide ribosomal RNA is filed under the name Actinomycetota bacterium. RNAcentral's name for it is "partial 23S ribosomal RNA". It matches the Rfam family "Bacterial large subunit ribosomal RNA", at positions 2697 to 2925 of the family's 2925-position model. The record is from RNAcentral. Lineage: Bacteria; Bacillati; Actinomycetota.